UGGUCAGAUUUAGCACAAGUGGUUACUCCCACCCAUCAGACUGCAGAUACCUAUAUUGAGGUUUGAGACCUAUGGGUGCUUUCUGACCCUUUU
This 93-nucleotide vault RNA is filed under the name Cervus hanglu yarkandensis (Yarkand deer). Its description in RNAcentral is "Vault RNA (ENSCHYG00000020092.1)". It matches the Rfam family "Vault RNA". Rfam says of the family: This family of RNAs are found as part of the enigmatic vault ribonucleoprotein complex. The complex consists of a major vault protein (MVP), two minor vault proteins (VPARP and TEP1), and several small untranslated RNA molecules. Lineage: Eukaryota; Metazoa; Chordata; Mammalia; Artiodactyla; Cervidae. The record is from Rfam by way of RNAcentral.